GCAUCUAGGAAACAGCGGAAUCUACUGCACUUCCUCCGGCCGCACCCAACCGAGAAUCAACUCGUUCGAUUCGUACUGCACACACGUCCAGUUAACGAGCAGAGAUCGUUAAAAAGAAUGGAAAGCAAACACGUGGAUAACAUAGAUACUACAUCGAUGACAAGAUUACACGACUUCUUAACGAUUUAAUCGAAUUAACAUAGUUAACCGUAUACUUUAUAUCUAAACGCUAUUAUUUUCUGAUUGUUCGCAAUGGUACGUGAUUUCUACUUAUCUUUCCUUCGAUCAGUGUACGUAAUCGAUAAAAUAACUAACCAAUUGUGAUCUGCGCGCCCAUUCGUCGUUUAUUUCACGAACACGCAACAGGUUUGUGUUCUUUCUCAUUACGUUUGUCCGUUUUCUUUUAUUAUACACACGAUUAAAAAGAGUUUAUAGUACAUCCUUAAUAACUAGAAGCAAAGAUAUACUUAACUUACUUAUUGAACUCUUCUAUUUCGACAUUUACAAAAUCGCGAUACAGGAAGUUAUCAAAGGGAUAAAAAUAUUCAUAAUUAAUUUAGAGCUUAAUUAACUUUAACGCGUCAUUAAAUCAACUAAACUGAGAGUAAGUAAUUGCAAAAUCUACUUUCACUUUUCUGUGAAUCAGUAACGAUUGAAGCCGCUCGCGAGGAAAGAAAAGGAUGAAACAGCAAUGUAAAUUCUAUAUUGAAUUUAAGUUGAGAUAUUAAGUCUACUGUAAGAAGUUCUCUAUCAUAAAAAGAUUGCUAAACUACGAGUUUUCAUAGUUGAAACUUACCGAACGUGGUCGUAGCAAAAGUGAAAGCCGCUCUGCACACAACAGUUUAGAGAGACGUUUCCUCUACCUGCACACAUUUAACGACCUUGCCACUGCCAAGCGUCCCCACCCUGAAGACCAAGAGCAACCUCGAGGCCUGCAGAAACGGAAGCCGACAGAAUUGGAAAACGUGCAAUCCUGGAUUUCGCCACUGGCGUUGGACAUAGGUUUCGUAAAUAAAAAACGUUUGUGCUGAGAAAAAAUAAUAGAUAAUGAACAAGAAACUGCAUAAUUUAUGUAAAGACAAACAAGAACAGUAUUGGUAGACGUAAGAAAUUGUAUUUGUACAAACUGUACAAAAAAAUCAGGUAUCGUCGUAGAAAUACAGUAUCGAAGAAUAAGAAAAUGUAAUAAAAUAUAAUAUGCUUAUAAUCGAAA
Bombus pyrosoma is the source of this 1213-nucleotide long non-coding RNA. RefSeq lists it as uncharacterized. The record is from RefSeq and is a predicted model, not a curated record. The transcript has 2 exons. NCBI's taxonomy places the organism in Eukaryota, Metazoa, Arthropoda, Insecta, Hymenoptera, Apidae.